AUGUAUACUGAUACGCCUUCACCACUGUUAAUCAGAAGAAAUAAAGGUCAAUUAAAGCAAUAUGUACAUGUAUUUAUGCGGUUCUCACAGCAUUGAACGAUCCUCUAUGUAUAUAUACACAAAGAUUCGAUAUAAAAACACGCACAAAUGGUAUGAAUUAGAGAACAAAACACACCUUUCAUCGAUGAAACAUUCAUAAAAUAUGCAUAUCACACCAACCAUGUAGGCUAAAAGACAUAAAGCUUGUAGCUUUUUAUGUAUUUAAAUCAUCCUACUAGUUUUUUUUUUUUUUUUUUUUUGUUGCAAAACAAAUGACUGUUGUUGCAUAAUUACAAAAAUAAAUCUUUUGUAUUCACAUAUCUUCGGGGGCGUAGCUUUGUGGGGGUCAGGAGGGGCGCCCAACCCCCCGAACUUUUCGCUCAGUAGUGCGCGGUAUGUAGUUUUCGUAUAGAAUUUUUUAGGUAUAUACGUUUUCGACCCCCCCGAUCGUAAAUCUCAAGCUUCGCCACUGCAUAUCUUAAUUUGUACAAAAUAGCACAUUCUAGUGUGUUUUUGGCAUAAAUUCCACCAUAAAAAUGGUUAAUUUGAUGUGAAAAUUCAAGUAUAUUGGUUUACAAAAGUUGAUUUGUCAAAAGUGAAUCAAAGUAUCAAACACCAAAGCACAACUCAGAGUAAAUUAGUAAAUUACAGCUUGCAGCAUCAAAUACAUUCACUUUUCACAUAAUAGAAUAAAGAUUAAAAAAAAACACAUUAUUGUAUUCACUUCAAAGUUCAAACCACUAAAGAUGAUAUUUUAUGACACAACAAAAAACCACUUUUUGCAUAAUUCAAUACUAUUACUUUUAUGAAAAAACAAUCAAUUAAACAAAUCAGUCAGCUUCCAAAAAAAAAACUCAAAUUGGUCUAUUAUGAAAAAAAAAAAAAAAAAAAAAGAAAGAAAACAAAUCACAUGGAGCCCAGAUAAUGAAAAUACAAACCUCUUCUAGCAAGCUCAGAUGAUGAAAAUCCAGUUGAUGUGAUAAGAAGUGAAAGAAUCUGUCCCAACACAAGACCAACCACUGUCUUGUUUGACACAAUCUCCUUAAAACUAACCAUGAUUAGAUU
This 1104-nucleotide long non-coding RNA is filed under the name Helianthus annuus (common sunflower). Its description in RNAcentral is "hypothetical non coding rna". Lineage: Eukaryota; Viridiplantae; Streptophyta; Magnoliopsida; Asterales; Asteraceae. The record is from RNAcentral.